RNAcentral lists this transfer RNA (74 nucleotides) under Enterobacteriaceae endosymbiont of Neohaemonia nigricornis. Its description in RNAcentral is "tRNA-Asp". It matches the Rfam family "tRNA". Rfam says of the family: Transfer RNA (tRNA) molecules are approximately 80 nucleotides in length. The record is from RNAcentral. Lineage: Bacteria; Pseudomonadati; Pseudomonadota; Gammaproteobacteria; Enterobacterales; Enterobacteriaceae.
GGUGCGAUAGUUCAGUUGGUUAGAAUACCGGCCUGUCACGCCGGGGGUCGCGGGUUCAAGCCCCGUUCGCACCG